This 1451-nucleotide ribosomal RNA is filed under the name uncultured bacterium. RNAcentral's name for it is "bacterial SSU rRNA". It matches the Rfam family "Bacterial small subunit ribosomal RNA". The record is from RNAcentral.
GAUGAACGCUGGCGGCGUGCCUAAUACAUGCAAGUCGAACGAAGAUCUUAGGGAAUAAGCUUGCUUAGGAAUUUUGAUCUUAGUGGCGGACUGGUGAGUAACACGUGAGCAACCUGGCUUUCAGAGGGGGACAACGGUUGGAAACGACCGCUAAUACCGCAUGACAUAGUUUUAAGGCAUCUUGAAACUAUCAAAGGAGCAAUCCGCUGAAAGAUGGGCUCGCGUCUGAUUAGAUAGUUGGUGAGGUAACGGCUCACCAAGUCGACGAUCAGUAGCCGGACUGAGAGGUUGAACGGCCACAUUGGGACUGAGAUACGGCCCAGACUCCUACGGGAGGCAGCAGUAGGGAAUAUUGCACAAUGGAGGAAACUCUGAUGCAGCAACGCCGCGUGAAGGAAGACGGUUUUCGGAUUGUAAACUUCUUUUCCCAAAGAAGAAAAAAUGACGGUAUUUGGGGAAUAAGCAUCGGCUAACUACGUGCCAGCAGCCGCGGUAAUACGUAGGAUGCAAGCGUUAUCCGGAUUUACUGGGUGUAAAGGGUGCGUAGGCGGACUUUCAAGUUGGAUGUGAAAACCCGGGGCUUAACCCCGUGAUUGCAUCCAAAACUGUAGGUCUUGAUUGGAGUAGAGGUAAGUGGAAUUCCGAGUGUAGCGGUGAAAUGCGCAGAUAUUCGGAAGAACACCGGUGGCGAAGGCGACUUACUGGGCUCUAAAUGACGCUGAGGCACGAAAGUGUGGGGAGCAAACAGGAUUAGAUACCCUGGUAGUCCACACUGUAAACGAUGAUAGCUAGGUGUAGGGGGUCUGACCCCCUCUGUGCCGGAGUUAACGCAAUAAGCUAUCCACCUGGGGAGUACGAUCGCAAGAUUGAAACUCAAAGGAAUUGACGGGGACCCGCACAAGCAGUGGAUUAUGUGGUUUAAUUCGAAGCAACGCGAAGAACCUUACCGAGUCUUGACAUUUGACUAACGAAGCAGAGAUGCAUUAGGUGCCCUUCGGGGAAAGUUAAAACAGGUGGUGCAUGGUUGUCGUCAGCUCGUGCCGUGAGGUGUUGGCUUAAGUGCCGCAACGAGCGCAACCCCUGCCAUUAGUUGCUACGCAAGAGCACUCUAAUGGGACCGCCGAUGACAAAUCGGAGGAAGGUGGGGAUGACGUCAAAUCAUCAUGCCCCUUAUGACUCGGGCCACACACGUAAUACAAUGGUCGUUAACAGAGGGAAGCAAGGGAGCGAUCCGGAGCCAAACCCUAAAAACGAUCUCAGUUCGGACUGUAGGCUGAAACUCGCCUGCACGAAGUUGGAAUUGCUAGUAAUCGCGGAUCAGCAUGCCGCGGUGAAUACGUUCCCGGGUCUUGUACACACCGCCCGUCACACCAUGGGAGUUUGUAACACCCGAAGUCGGUGACCCAACAGUAAUGAGGGAGCCGCCGAAGGUGGGAUAAGCGACUGGGGUG